UCGCCACGAAAGAUACAAUCUUGUUGUGU
This 29-nucleotide small RNA is filed under the name Bombyx mori (domestic silkworm). RNAcentral's name for it is "ovarian small RNA-28661". The record is from RNAcentral. Lineage: Eukaryota; Metazoa; Arthropoda; Insecta; Lepidoptera; Bombycidae.